Molecule: non-coding RNA, 927 nt
Filed under: Priotelus temnurus
Lineage: Eukaryota; Metazoa; Chordata; Aves; Trogoniformes; Trogonidae
Description: partial 12S ribosomal RNA
Rfam family: Bacterial small subunit ribosomal RNA
Source: RNAcentral
AAAGACUUAGUCCUAACCUUACCGUUAGUUUCAGCUAGACAUAUACAUGCAAGUAUCCGCACUCCAGUGUAAAUGCCCUUAAUUUCUUUCUAAUCUAAGAUGGAGGAGCAGGCAUCAGGCACGCCACAGCAGCCUAAGACGUCUUGCUUAGCCACACCCCCACGGGUAUUCAGCAGUAAUUAACAUUAAGCAAUAAGUGAAAACUUGACUUAGCCAUAGCUAACUAGGGCUGGUAAAUCUUGUGCCAGCCACCGCGGUCACACAAGAGGCCCAAAUUAACUGUUACACGGCGUAAAGAGUGGUACAACCCUGUCUUUUUAACUAAGAUCAAACUGCAACUAGGCUGUCAUAAGCUAAAGAUGCAUCUAAGGCCCUCCCUAAAAACGAUCUUAGCCUAAUCUUGAUUAACUAAUACCACGAAAGCUAGGGCCCAAACUGGGAUUAGAUACCCCACUAUGCCUAGCCUUAAAUUCUGAUGCGCUACUCUACCAAGCCAUCCGCCUGGGAACUACGAGCAUAAACGCUUAAAACCCUAAGGACUUGGCGGUGCCUCAAAUCCACCUAGAGGAGCCUGUUCUAUAAUCGAUAACCCACGAUGCACCCAACCCCCCCUUGCCAGACAGCCUACAUACCGCCGUCUCCAGCUCGCCCUCUCUGAAGGCCAAGCAGCAAGCGUAAUAGCUACUCGCUAACAAGACAGGUCAAGGUAUAGCUAAUGGGGUGGAAGAAAUGGGCUACAUUUUCUAGCAUAGAAUAACCCAGACGAAAAGGGGUGUGAAAUCACCCCUGGAAGGCGGAUUUAGCAGUAAAAGGAGAUAAUAAAGCUCCUCUUAAGCUGGCCCUGAGGCACGUACAUACCGCCCGUCACCCUCCUCAAAGGCCAUUAAACAAAACAUAACUAAUACACCUACAAGCCAAAGAUGAGGU